AGUUUUCUGAGUCCUUGCCGAGAUUUCGUCAGACACUAGACCAUCAAGAAUGAUGAGACUCCCAAGAUAAUUGAAAUU
Schistosoma haematobium is the source of this 78-nucleotide non-coding RNA. NCBI's taxonomy places the organism in Eukaryota, Metazoa, Platyhelminthes, Trematoda, Strigeidida, Schistosomatidae. The record is from Rfam.